GAUGAAGAACGUAGCGAAAUGCGAUAAGUAAUGUGAAUUGCAGAAUUCAGUGAAUCAUCGAAUCUUUGAACGCACAUUGCGCUCGCCAGUAUUCUGGCGGGCAUGCCUGUUCGAGCGUCAUUUCAACCAUCAAGCCCCAGGCUUGUGUUGGGGACCUGCGGCUGCCGCAGGCCCUGAAAACCAGUGGCGGGCUCGCUGUCACACCGGGCGUAGUAGAUUUUAUCUCGCUCAGGGCGUGCUGCGGGUUCCGGCCGUUAAAAAGCCUUUUUUACCCAAGGUUGACCUCGGAUCAGGUAGGAAGACCCGCUGAACUUAAGCAUAUCAAUAAGCGGAGGA
This 336-nucleotide unclassified non-coding RNA is filed under the name soil metagenome. RNAcentral's name for it is "partial contains 5.8S ribosomal RNA, internal transcribed spacer 2, and large subunit ribosomal RNA". The stretch from base 1 to 120 matches the Rfam family "5.8S ribosomal RNA", at positions 35 to 154 of the family's 154-position model. The record is from RNAcentral.